This 457-nucleotide ribosomal RNA is filed under the name uncultured bacterium. Its description in RNAcentral is "partial 16S ribosomal RNA". It matches the Rfam family "Bacterial small subunit ribosomal RNA", at positions 338 to 795 of the family's 1533-position model. The record is from RNAcentral.
CCUACGGGAGGCAGCAGUGGGGAAUAUUGCACAAUGGGGGAAACCCUGAUGCAGCGACGCCGCGUGAGUGAAGAAGUAUUUCGGUAUGUAAAGCUCUAUCAGCAGGGAACAAAUAAAGUCCUUCGGACUUUGGACGGUACCUGACUAAGAAGCCCCGGCUAACUCCGUACCAGCAUCCGCGGGAAUACGUAGGGGGCAAGCGUUAUCCGGAUUUACUGGGUGUAAAGGGAGCGUAGACGGCAGCGCAAGUCUGGAGUGAAAUCCCAUGGCUUAACCAUGGAACUGCUUUGGAAACUGUGCAGCUGGAGUGCAGGAGAGGUAAGCGGAAUUCCUAGUGUAGCGGUGAAAUGCGUAGAGAGUAGGAGGAACACCAGUGGCGAAGGCGGCUUACUGGACUGUAACUGACGUUGAGGCUCGAAAGCGUGGGGAGCAAACAGGAUUAGAUACCCCAGUAGUC